Molecule: non-coding RNA, 225 nt
Organism: Solanum tuberosum (potato)
Lineage: Eukaryota; Viridiplantae; Streptophyta; Magnoliopsida; Solanales; Solanaceae
Source: Rfam
AUGUGGUACUUUUCGGAUUUUGAGAUUCAAACAAGUCUAUCUUUGACUGUAAAUUUUUCAUAAAUCUUUUAAACAUUUUGAAUUAUCAAUUAUUGUGACUUAUAAUUCUUUUUACGUAGUUUACAAAUAUAUAAAUUUUAUUUCAAAAAAAUUGAAGAUUCCAUGCGCAAAUUUUCGGUCAAAUUUAAACUGUUUGACUCUCGAAAAACGAAAAGUGCCAUAUAA